Molecule: ribosomal RNA, 1661 nt
Filed under: mouse gut metagenome
Description: bacterial LSU rRNA
Rfam family: Bacterial large subunit ribosomal RNA
Source: RNAcentral
UCCAAUCGAACUCGGAGAUAGCUGGUUCUCCCCGAAAUAGCUUUAGGGCUAGCGUCGAGGUAAAGUCGUGUGAAGGUAGAGCACUGAAUAUGUGAUGGCCCCAUCCCGGGGUACUGAAUAUAAUCAAACUCCGAAUGUCACAAAGAUAUACUCGGCAGUCAGACAGUGGGUGAUAAGGUCCAUUGUCAAAAGGGAAACAGCCCAGACCAUCAGCUAAGGUCCCAAAAUAUAUACUAAGUGGAAAAGGAUGUGGAGAUGUCCAGACAACUAGGAGGUUGGCUCAGAAGCAGCCAUCCUUUAAAGAGUGCGUAACAGCUCACUAGUCGAAUGACUCUGCGCCGAUAAUUUACCGGGGCUAAGUAUAUUACCGAAGCUAUGGAUUUACGCAGAAGCGUGAGUGGUAGGGGAGCGUUCUAUGUACAGAGAAGCGGUACCGGAAGGAGCCGUGGAGAGCAUAGAAGAGAGAAUGCCGGUGUGAGUAGCGGAACGCGGGUGAGAAUCCCGCGCACCGAAAACCCAAGGUUUCCAGAGGAAGGUUCGUCCGCUCUGGGUAAGUCGGGACCUAAGGCGAGGCCGAGAGGCGUAGUCGAUGGACAACAGGUAGAGAUUCCUGUACUUACGGUAUGAAUGAAGGAGUGACGGAGAAGGCUAGCGGAUCCUGCUGCUGGAAUAGCAGGUGCAAGCGAGGUAGCUGACAGCCAGGCAAAUCCGGCUGUCGAAAGGCGAAGACGUGAAGCGGAUGGAAAGCUGAGGCAAGUACAGAAGUCCGUGAAGCAGGCUUCCAAGAAAAGCUUCUAGUGUUAAUCAUACAGUAACCCGUACCGAAAAUGGACACACAUGGGUGAGGAGAGAAUCCUAAGGUGAGCGAGAGAACUAUAGCUAAGGAACUCUGCAAAAUGACUCCGUAACUUAGGGAUAAGGAGUGCUCAUAGAGAUAUGAGCCGCAGUGAAACGGCCCAAGCGACUGUUUACCAAAAACACAGCUCUAUGCUAAGUCGAAAGACGACGUAUAUGGGGUGACGCCUGCCCGGUGCUGGAAGGUUAAGAGGAUGUGUCAGCGAAAGCGAAGCAUUGAAUUGAAGCCCCAGUAAACGGCGGCCGUAACUAUAACGGUCCUAAGGUAGCGAAAUUCCUUGUCAGGUAAGUUCUGACCCGCACGAAAGGCGUAACGAUUUGGGCGCUGUCUCAGCUGUAGACUCGGUGAAGUCUUAGUACCUGUGAAGAUGCAGGUUACCCGCGACUAGACGGAAAGACCCCAUGGAGCUUUACUGCAGCUUGAUAUUGGACUUUGAUGCAAGAUGUACAGGAUAGGUAGGAGACUGAGAGACAUGCACGCCAGUGUGUGAGGAGUCGAUGUUGGGAUACUACUCUUCUUGUAUUGGAGUUCUAACCGGAUGCCAUGGAACUGGCAACGGGACAGUGUCAGGCGGGCAGUUUGACUGGGGCGGUCGCCUCCCAAAGAGUAACGGAGGCGCCCAAAGAUACCCUCAGCUUGGAUGGAAAUCAAGCGCAGAGUGCAAAGGCAUAAGGGUGUUUGACUGCGAGACCAACAAGUCGAGCAGGGACGAAAGUCGGGCUUAGUGAUCCGGCGGUGCUGAAUGGAAAGGCCGUCGCUCAACGGAUAAAAGCUACCCUGGGGAUAACAGGCUGAUCUCCCCCAA